UCGAGAAUCUUCGGCAAUGGGGGAAACCCUGACCGAGCGACGCCGCGUGCGAGAUGAAGGCCUUCGGGUUGUAAAUCGCUGUCAGAGGGGAGGAAAUUCCAAGGGGUUCUCUCCUUGGUUUGACCUAUCCUCAGAGGAAGGACGGGCUAAGUUCGUGCCAGCAGCCGCGGUAAGACGAACCGUCCAAACGUUAUUCGGAAUCACUGGGCUUAAAGGGUGCGUAGGCGGCUCUGCAAGUUGGGUGUGAAAGCCCUCGGCUCAACCGAGGAACUGCGCCCAAAACUGUGGGGCUUGAGGGAGACAGAGGUGAGCGGAACUUAGGGUGGAGCGGUGAAAUGCGUUGAGAUCCUAAGGAACACCAGUAGCGAAAGCGGCUCACUGGGUCUCUUCUGACGCUGAGGCACGAAAGCUAGGGGAGCGAAGAG
This 425-nucleotide ribosomal RNA is filed under the name uncultured bacterium. Its description in RNAcentral is "bacterial SSU rRNA". It matches the Rfam family "Bacterial small subunit ribosomal RNA", at positions 355 to 775 of the family's 1533-position model. The record is from RNAcentral.